Molecule: long non-coding RNA, 3172 nt
Organism: Gallus gallus (chicken)
Lineage: Eukaryota; Metazoa; Chordata; Aves; Galliformes; Phasianidae
Source: Ensembl
CGACAGACUUGAGGGGUUCUCUGCCAUCUGAUCCUUCACCGCAACGUGGACACUGAUCUCUCACCGCAACACAGAGGCUGAUCUCUCAUGAUCUCUCACCACGACACGAGCUUCCUGCCUUCAGAUCCUUCUCUACGGACCGUUUGCUGACGGACUUCCCUGGGCCUGCUACCUGAGACCUGCUGCUUCCUCCCUGACCUGCACCCUCUUGUUGCCCAAGACCGGCCUCGCUGCUCCUGCCCUUCGGCCUCGGACCGUCGGAACGUCGUGCAACGGGACUGCUGCUGGAUCCUGGUGAGGAGUUGAGCAUGGGGUCAGACGGUUGGGAAUGGAAACUGAUGAAAGAACUGUGAAUGGAAGUAAUUGAGUGGACAAUCACCAAGAUUCCUGCAUAUCUUAUUUAAAUAUAUUGACGGUAUUGAGUUUGAAGCUGGAGUUACUCUCAUUACUUGAGUUCCUGCAUUCUAUCUAUACAGUUUGAUGUAUCUAUACUUUCACUUCUACUAUUCUCUACAGCUUUCUUAAUGUGUAUGUCAGUCCAUAGGUAUUUUUUGCCUUGCACAAAGGGCUAAAAUGCUUUGUAAUAUCACAUUGCUUAUCCAGUUUGAGUUUGGUCUAACUCUACUGAAGUCAGUGAUUUUACACAGGUAUGGCCUUUGCUCCUCAUCAAUGUCCAACCAUGAAAACUGCUUUAACCUAUAUUCCUCAUUUUGAUCAUCCUGAGAUGGAAAACUUUGCCCCACAAAGUUGCCCCACAACUUUGCUGAACAAGUAACAGCGACAUCACUGCUAAUAGCUGUUCUCAAUGAAUUUUUAAAAUGUCAGUCAGCUGAGUUCUUGAGCUGUAAGUUAUUCUUUCAGGACUUACUUUUUACAGAUAAUGCAUUCUGUAACUGCUUGUUAUGGACAAAUAAUGUGAGCUUCUGACUUCCCAAUGUUAUGUUCAAAAUGUCUUUUUGUUUGCUCAGAUGUAUUCGCAGAGGAAAGGAACUGCAAACUUAGAAAUAUCAAUUACAGGUUUUUACUUUGCACCACACUAGCAGUUUCUUAUUCUGUAGAAGCAGUUUCUCUAUAAUUACUAAGAUAGCCUUUUCCGAAAUGCAACUCAAAUAAUGGCAGGAAAAACUGCCAUAUUUACUGCAUGUUAGUGAUUCACACAUAAGCUCAAACUGCAAAGUAAAGAAAAGUUAUUCAACUUCCAAGACCAGAAAUUCUUUUCAGAAACUGGAAAUUCAUGUCAUUUUAAGCACACUGCCUACACUACUAGCAUUCUACCUGCAUCUUUAGCCACAUAUAUCCUCAUGACAUUUUGGAACUACUAUUUUUUGGGCAUGUAUUUCUAACUAUUCAAAGCUACAACUUCAUCUCUAGUAACAUAUUUGGGCUAGCUAGUCUAUAUCAAUAACACAAAAAGUUGCAAAGGUAUCUCAGCAUCUGGUCAGUGUGAUCUGAGCAUCAGGCUGUUGUGCAUACUUAUAUUUGGAGUACUUUGACACUAAUACAUAUAUACUACCCAAAAGCUGAAUCACACAUCUAGGUUGUUUUAGGGACAUCAUUUUAGAAUACUUCCUGGAUCUGUACACAGAACUAACUGAUAAAGGAUCUUUCUCAGAACCUUUCCUACAUGUUUUAGGGUAAUGUUAAGAACUCCCAAUAGAUAUGAUCCAAAGUAUAUUUAUAUAUAUAUAUGUUCUUGUUAUGUUUGUACUUCAUUUCAACACACACAGAAUUUAGGCUAUUUACUUUUGGGUCACUUAUCAUGAACUUAAGAGAAAGGUGGGGUCUCCUCUCCUUGAAGAGUAGAAAUAAUUUUAUUGUUCUUAUGGUCACAAGGUAUUUUCCAAAGAAGUUGGUAAAGAAUUAUAUUAUAUAAAAAUGGAUCUUCUUGUUUCUUGUGAUAUUUCUGGUUCUAAUUAUGAAACUACUUCAUAACAAACAAUAGCAAAGUUAUUAGAGAAGUUUGGACGAGCACUGAGAUAUCAGGGUUACUUUUAUUUUCUCAAUAAUAGCGAGGUUAACUUUAACACAAUUGUACUUAGUUUAUCAAGUUCUCAUGGAACCUCUGAUCUUCUAAGGAAUGGAAUACAAACCACAGCCUUUUUGCUGCUCAGUUUUCACUGAAAUGAAAUCAAUCAGAAGCUACAUUCUGAAAGAGAGGAGCAGUUUAUAUUGACCUCUAAGUUGCUUAAGAAAUCUCUGUGCACUAUCAAAGGUUGUCACAAAACUGACAUUGAUAAAGAGUUCAGUGCUAGUUCCAACAUGUACUAUCCCUUCAACUGCAUAUAUUUGUACAUAUUUUACAGUUAUAUAUAUAAUAUUGCAUAUAUUUUACAGUUUUGCCUGUAUUGCAACAUGCAAGUAUGGUGAAGUUUGUAAUGAAAAUAUAUGCUUUCUGGUAUACAGAAUAAAUUCCCAGCAAAAAGUCACAUUCCAUUCAUCUGUAUUCCUUGCACUUUAGCCUUUUCAUUUGAUUUUAGCCUCAAGUUGAUGACAAAAUGGUAAUUUCAAACUGUGUGUUUUUCAGCUUACCAAGACUAAUAUUUCUUCAUUGUUGCCACUGCAAGAGUUCCUUCAAACAACAAGAUCAUGCUCUGGUGUUUCACAUAAAUAAACAUCAAGCACUGUAAAAACAUACCAUCUACAUGAGAGAAGACAAGCAACAAUCAAAUAAGAGAAAUAGGAGGUAGAUUAGAGAAUCUUUAGUCAACUGAUGAAAAUCAUAUUACACAUGCAACAUAAUACAUUUUCUAUGUAUAAAUUAUAUAAAUUUAUGAAACAGGAAACAUCGGAAAAAAAAGAAAGAUAAUGAAAUUAUGCAAUAUUAGGAAUCUAAACUGGCUUUUGAGAUGGAACUAAUGGAAGUCUUAUGGCAUUGCUCUUCAUGGUGCCUCUUUAAUUUUCCAGCCUUUUUCUUCUUUCAACUAAUACAGAUGUUCUGCUUUACCUUCCCUUUACAGUAUGAGAACAGAUCAUUUUUAUACUGACAAAAGACUGUUCAAAAUUAUGCUUUAAUACAGUAAAGCUCAGACACACACAGGUUAUCCUGCUUAUUUUUUAUUAUUAUUUUCUUGUUCCUUUUGUAACUCUCUGUCCUUCUUUCUUGGACAGAGAGAGAAAUGUCCUCUCUUGAAAAGAGAAUGACCAUAUUACUCUGUAGUAAAAUACGUAACCU